CCUACGGGUGGCUGCAGUGAGGAAUAUUGGUCAAUGGCCGGGACGCUGAACCAGCCAAGUCGCGUGAGGGAAGACGGCCCUACGGGUUGUAAACCUCUUUUGUCAGGGAGCAAUGUGCAGGUCGGGACCUGCUGUGAGAGUACCUGACGAAAAAGCAUCUGCUAACUCCGUGCCAGCAGCCGCCGUAAUACGGAGGAUGCGAUCGUUAGCCGUAUUUCUGGGGUUUAAAGGGUUCGAAGGCGGAGGCACAAGUCAGCGGGAAAAUCGCGGGGCUCAACCCCGCUCCGCCGUUGAAACUGUGUACCGUGAGUGCGCGAAGGGUAGGCGGAAUGCGUGGUGUAGCGGUGAAAUGCAUAGAUAUCACGAAGAACUCCGAGAGCGAAGGCAGCCUACCGGCGCGCAACUGACGCUCAUGCACGAAAGCGUGGGUAUCGAACAGGAUUAGAUACCCGAGUAGUC
Molecule: ribosomal RNA, 459 nt
Filed under: uncultured bacterium
Lineage: Bacteria
Description: partial 16S ribosomal RNA
Rfam family: Bacterial small subunit ribosomal RNA
Source: RNAcentral